Long non-coding RNA from Neogale vison (American mink), 433 nucleotides. RefSeq lists it as uncharacterized. NCBI's taxonomy places the organism in Eukaryota, Metazoa, Chordata, Mammalia, Carnivora, Mustelidae. The transcript is spliced from 4 exons. The record is from RefSeq and is a predicted model, not a curated record.
UGGCAGCAACGCAGAUGCCGGAGGGGGCUGCGGAAGAGGCGGCAGCGGCAGCUCCAGGGAGGCCCAGCAACUGAGGAAGGGCAGAGAAGGCCAGAAUGACCAGAGAACCUGCUGUAGAGAAAGGCUUUUGGGGUUUGAGCAUCUGCACCUUCAGAAGCUGCGCUGAAGCCUUCAUAGGCAGCCUCUGCCUUGUGAGGGAAGGCACCUCCACCAGCUCUAGUGUAAGGAUCAAGCCUGGUGUGUGGAACUUUUCUACAGCCCAUAAACGGAGAAAGCUUUUGCCUCCUCAGUUGUAGAGUUCUAUCAGUCACCGCUCUUUCAAGUCAUUGGUGAAGUGGAUAGAAAAUGCCUGCUUUCAGGGAACCAAACGGAUGUUGAAAAGGGGCUGGAAAUUAAACCCAGAACUUGAGUCUUGGAUGCUGUAGGCAGUGCC